RNAcentral lists this long non-coding RNA (2871 nucleotides) under Homo sapiens (human). Its description in RNAcentral is "HSALNT0135106". Lineage: Eukaryota; Metazoa; Chordata; Mammalia; Primates; Hominidae. The record is from RNAcentral.
GGCUGUUUCUGUGCCAAAUACUGGUCUAAGGCAUAAAAUUAAGACCUUCUCAGAUAUUUUCUGAGCCUAUGUUUUCCUCUGUGCAUACACACUGACUUUCUAAUUUUCCUAUAUAUGCGGUUGCUUUUGAAUGCCCUAGUCCUCCAUGACUGGCUCAAAAGGGGAAAAAAAGAGAAAAGUAAAAGCGAGGAGAAGGCAACAUCCCUUCAAAUCUUCUGGAAGUCACUUUAGUCAGAAGGAGAGAAAAACCAAUGGGACAGCAAAUUCUCAUAGAACUGGCUGAAAAGGAUCUGUAUUUUUUUCUUGCUGUCCACUUAUUUUCCAACAAGAACCCUGGCUGUCUUUGUGAUGACUCAGGAAGAGGAGGAUUUGUGCACAGCCAAGAGGAAAUAGGACCUCCAUAUUUGCCAUUUGGAUGCAGAGAAUAUGAACAGACUUCUCUGAGACCCAAGAACUGAAGAAAUUGUUGGGUCCUCUCAGUAAAGUGGGUCUAAGAAGCAUGUGUGAAUGAGUGUUGGUUGGGCAUGCAGGUGUUGUUAAUUGUGUUUUUGCUCUUUUUUAUACAUAUCUUUGUGUUAUCUACUUACAGUUAUAGACUCAGAUAUGGAAGAAAUCUGAGUCUCACUCAGACAAUUUGGGGUUUCAUUCUUUUUUAUAUGUAAAAUCUAAGAAAUACCCUAGUAGUUAAGUGACUCGUCUGCACCGCCCAGUUUUCUCUCUGUGGCAGCAGCUCCAAGGGUAAUCUAGUAGCAAAAUCUAGAACCAUGGCAAAAAUGCAGAGAGAGAAAUAUAUAUUUUCAUGGAAUCAGUAUACAACACUAAAUGUAACUGGCCUUUUGGGAAAAAAAAAAAGGAGGGGGCGGUGGAAACCUGGUCUAACAAUCGUCUCAGCCCUGUCUGGAUUGUGGAAAAGGGCCCAUAGCCCAGGCGCUCUUCCAUGAUUACAUAUUAACAUACAUGCAUGUUGGAAACCUACUAUAUAUAUAAUUGCUUUAUGUCCACAGUAGAUUUUAAAUUCUUUUUUUUUCCCUAGCAAACAUUCUUCUAGAGACUCUCAACUUUAAUUUGAAAAAAAGGUAAAAUCUCAUUUGUCUUGAUGAGGGCUACAGUGUACCCCUAGUGACCAGAUAUUCCAUACUGAAAUCAUUGCUGUUUCUAACUCCAGGGCCAGUGAAUCUAGGACUAGUGUUGAAGGGGAGAGUGCAGAAUGAAGAACUAUUUUCCACUCAGUUUUGCCUGUUUACAUUUUACUACUAGAACCUCUCCUUUAUUGCUUCGUUUAGAAUCUGGAUUAGCAAAGCGUCAGGAGCUUUCAUGUUUAUCACACAAUUUAAAAUGGAAUGAAACACACACCAUCACAAAGCCCAGGUGUUGGAUUAGAAUUUUUUUUUUUUUGCUUUAAAAAUGGUUUUUAUUUCUAUUUUUAUUUUAUUUAUUUUUUCUUCAACUUUCAUUUUAAGUCCCAGGGUACAUGUGCAGGAUGUGCAGGUUUGUUACAUAAGUAAACAGGUGCCAUGGUGGUUUGCUCCACAGAUCACCUAGGUACUAAGCCAAGCAUCCAUUAACUAUUUUUCCUGAUGCUCUCCCUGCCCCCACCCCCACUGAAAGGCCCCCGUGUGUGUUGUUCCCCACCAUGUGUCCACAUGUUCUCAUCAUUCAGUUCCCACUUAUAAGUGAGAACAUACGGUGCUCAGUUUUCUGUUCCUGCGUUAGUUUGCUGAGGAUAGCAUCUUCCAACUAUCCGUGUCCCUGCAAAGAAUGUGAUCUCCUUCCUUUUUAUGGCUGCAUAUUAUUCUUUGGUGUAUAUGUAUCACAUUUUCUCUAUCCAGUCAAUUAUUGAUGAGCAUUUGGAUCAAUUCCAUGUAUUUGCUACUGUGAAUAGUGCUGCAAUGAACAUAUGUAUGCAUGUGUCUUUAUAACAGAAUUGUUUACAUUCCUUUGGGUACAUACCCAGUAAUAAGAUUGCUGGGUCAAAUGUUAUUUCUGCCUUUAGGUCUUUGAGGAAUCACUAUUUUGUCUUCCACCGUGGAUGAACUAAUUUAUACUCCCACCAACAGUGUAAAAGCAUUUCUUUUUCUCUGCAACCUUGCCAGCAUCUGUUAUUUAUUGACUUUUUAAUAAUGGCCAUUUUGAUUGGCGUGAGCUGGUAACUCAUUGUGGUUUUGAUUUGUAUUUCUCUAAUGAUCAGUGAUGUUGAGCUCUUUGUGUAUAUAAAUUGUGUGAUUCCAACUCAGUGCUGUCUAACCCUCAACCCUCCUUGCCCUCCUCUCUUCCGUUCCCCUUCAGAAAUGUCUGAAUCCAGUUUUUCUUCAGAAUACUUUCUCCAGGCAAUGUUGGAAGUUUUCUUUCCAACUUCCAGUCUUUUCUGCUCUGUCUUGAUCAAUAAACGUGUUCUUUUGCUUGUAGCCUAGGGCCAAAGCCUGUGUGUUAAAGUGAUGUUGUCACAAAAUGCCUGGUGAUGUCAUAAAGCACUGGGAGAUCUGGCAAAAGCAGCAAUCCUCAUUUUUAUGUCCCCAGAAAAUUAUUGGUACCCAAAGGGCCAUCACAUCUUCUGUCUAUGCACCAGUUGUUGUAGAAAUAGUGAAGGCCUAGUUAACUUCGUGCAUUUACAUGUUUGACAGAUUUCUAUAAAAGACUGUGUAGAGAAUAUAGAUUUAAGGAGCCGAAGUUAUUAAAAUGGGGUGGGGUGAGAGGAACUAGGCCAAUAAAAGCAGACAACGUGGUUUUUUAAUCCUUUCCACAGGAAUUCAGGCAAAAGGGGAAUAAAAUAAUUCUACAGGGUCACUUGUAAUUCAGCUUAAACUAAGCUCAGGAAACUGAAUAAUAUUUCUCAGAAGGCUGAUUUAUGCACUUAAAGUAACUAAGUCCCAG